This is a non-coding RNA of Melanotaenia boesemani (Boeseman's rainbowfish), 73 nucleotides long. The record is from the annotation of a RefSeq genome assembly. NCBI's taxonomy places the organism in Eukaryota, Metazoa, Chordata, Actinopteri, Atheriniformes, Melanotaeniidae.
GUUUCCGUAGUGUAGUGGUCAUCACGUUAGCUUCACACGCGAAAGGUACUCGGUUCAAAACCGAGCGGAAACA